This 390-nucleotide ribosomal RNA is filed under the name Actinomycetota bacterium. Its description in RNAcentral is "bacterial SSU rRNA". It matches the Rfam family "Bacterial small subunit ribosomal RNA", at positions 1 to 392 of the family's 1533-position model. The record is from RNAcentral. Lineage: Bacteria; Bacillati; Actinomycetota.
UUAACGGAGAGUUUGAUCCUGGCUCAGGACGAACGCUGGCGGCGUGCUUAACACAUGCAAGUCGAACGAUGAAGCCGAGCUUGCUCGGUGGAUUAGUGGCGAACGGGUGAGUAACACGUGAGCAACCUGCCCCUAACUCUGGGAUAACGCUUCGAAAGGAGUGCUAAUACCGGAUAUGAGCCUGGAGGACAUCCUCUGGGUUGGAAAGUUUUUCGGUUAGGGAUGGGCUCGCGGCCUAUCAGCUUGUUGGUGAGGUAAAAGCUCACCAAGGCGACGACGGGUAUCCGGCCUGAGAGGGCGACCGGACACACUGGGACUGAGACACGGCCCAGACUCCUACGGGAGGCAGCAGUGGGGAAUAUUGCGCAAUGGGCGAAAGCCUGACGCAGC